GAUUAAGUUAUUAAGGGCGCACGGUGGAUGCCUUGGCACUAGAAGCCGAUGAAGGACGUUACUAACGACGAUAUGCUUUGGGGAGCUGUAAGUAAGCUUUGAUCCAGAGAUUUCCGAAUGGGGAAACCCAGCAUGAGUUAUGUCAUGUUAUCGAUAUGUGAAUACAUAGCAUAUCAGAAGGCACACCCGGAGAACUGAAACAUCUUAGUACCCGGAGGAAGAGAAAGAAAAUUCGAUUCCCUUAGUAGCGGCGAGCGAAACGGGAAGAGCCCAAACCAACAAGCUUGCUUGUUGGGGUUGUAGGACACUCUAUACGGAGUUACAAAGGACGACAUUAGACGAAUCAUCUGGAAAGAUGAAUCAAAGAAGGUAAUAAUCCUGUAGUCGAAAAUGUUGUCUCUCUUGAGUGGAUCCUGAGUACGACGGAGCACGUGAAAUUCCGUCGGAAUCUGGGAGGACCAUCUCCUAAGGCUAAAUACUCUCUAGUGACCGAUAGUGAACCAGUACCGUGAGGGAAAGGUGAAAAGCACCCCGGAAGGGGAGUGAAAUAGAACCUGAAACCGUGUGCUUACAAGUAGUCAGAGCCCGUUAAUGGGUGAUGGCGUGCCUUUUGUAGAAUGAACCGGCGAGUUACGAUUUGAUGCAAGGUUAAGCAGUAAAUGUGGAGCCGUAGCGAAAGCGAGUCUGAAUAGGGCGUUUAGUAUUUGGUCGUAGACCCGAAACCAGGUGAUCUACCCUUGGUCAGGUUGAAGUUCAGGUAACACUGAAUGGAGGACCGAACCGACUUACGUUGAAAAGUGAGCGGAUGAACUGAGGGUAGCGGAGAAAUUCCAAUCGAACCUGGAGAUAGCUGGUUCUCUCCGAAAUAGCUUUAGGGCUAGCCUCAAGUGAUGAUUAUUGGAGGUAGAGCACUGUUUGGACGAGGGGCCCCUCUCGGGUUACCGAAUUCAGACAAACUCCGAAUGCCAAUUAAUUUAACUUGGGAGUCAGAACAUGGGUGAUAAGGUCCGUGUUCGAAAGGGAAACAGCCCAGACCACCAGCUAAGGUCCCAAAAUAUAUGUUAAGUGGAAAAGGAUGUGGCGUUGCCCAGACAACUAGGAUGUUGGCUUAGAAGCAGCCAUCAUUUAAAGAGUGCGUAAUAGCUCACUAGUCGAGUGACACUGCGCCGAAAAUGUACCGGGGCUAAACAUAUUACCGAAGCUGUGGAUUGUCCUUUGGACAAUGGUAGGAGAGCGUUCUAAGGGCGUUGAAGCAUGAUCGUAAGGACAUGUGGAGCGCUUAGAAGUGAGAAUGCCGGUGUGAGUAGCGAAAGACGGGUGAGAAUCCCGUCCACCGAUUGACUAAGGUUUCCAGAGGAAGGCUCGUCCGCUCUGGGUUAGUCGGGUCCUAAGCUGAGGCCGACAGGCGUAGGCGAUGGAUAACAGGUUGAUAUUCCUGUACCACCUAUAAUCGUUUUAAUCGAUGGGGGGACGCAGUAGGAUAGGCGAAGCGUGCGAUUGGAUUGCACGUCUAAGCAGUAAGGCUGAGUAUUAGGCAAAUCCGGUACUCGUUAAGGCUGAGCUGUGAUGGGGAGAAGA
Molecule: ribosomal RNA, 1578 nt
Filed under: Staphylococcus aureus
Lineage: Bacteria; Bacillati; Bacillota; Bacilli; Caryophanales; Staphylococcaceae
Description: partial 23S ribosomal RNA
Rfam family: Bacterial large subunit ribosomal RNA
Source: RNAcentral